RNAcentral lists this ribosomal RNA (253 nucleotides) under uncultured bacterium. Its description in RNAcentral is "partial 16S ribosomal RNA". It matches the Rfam family "Bacterial small subunit ribosomal RNA", at positions 524 to 776 of the family's 1533-position model. The record is from RNAcentral.
UACGAAGGGGGCUAGCGUUGUUCGGAUUUACUGGGCGUAAAGGGCGCGUAGGCGGCUUUUUAAGUCAGGGGUGAAAUCCCAAGGCUCAACCUUGGAACUGCCUUUGAUACUGGGGAUCUUGAGUCCGGGAGAGGUGAGUGGAACUGCGAGUGUAGAGGUGAAAUUCGUAGAUAUUCGCAAGAACACCAGUGGCGAAGGCGGCUCACUGGCCCGGAACUGACGCUGAGGCGCGAAAGCGUGGGGAGCAAACAGG